Long non-coding RNA from Marmota flaviventris (yellow-bellied marmot), 1744 nucleotides. RefSeq lists it as uncharacterized. The record is from RefSeq and is a predicted model, not a curated record. NCBI's taxonomy places the organism in Eukaryota, Metazoa, Chordata, Mammalia, Rodentia, Sciuridae.
ACCCACUAUGGGCUGACAGUCAGACAGUUGCAGAGGGCUGCAGGUCCCAGCACUGCAAGAUGGAACACAGAGAGGGGACUCUAACUGAGAGGGGACUUUGCAACUGGCAGCGGUGAAGACAGAAAAAAAUGAGUGCUGUUUUCUCACAUCAAGAGGCAUCCUGGAAGGUACUGAAGGCACAGAGGCAAAGGAAGGAAGGGCACCACGUGUGGGUGGCAGGAGAAGGGCAGGCAGGAGGUGGUAUUCACAUCAGGAAGCGUUCCAGCCCAGCAGCAGCGCUGCAGAAGUAGGAGCCCCUGAAGGACUCACGGCCCAACAGGAGGGUCCAGUGAAGCCUCCAGAGAACAUUCAGAGCCAAGCUCCAUUCCAGGCUGGGGUGUGACUGCUCCAUGGCCUCCUGGCUGCCAUCCCUGCCCUCAUGGACCCCACUCAUCCUCCUAGCCACCAAAUCGACCCUGAAAUGUAAACUCAGCACAGUCUGGUCCCUGGAGCCCCUCCAUGACUCCCGCAGGAGCACCAGGCCAGUUCAUACUGACGACAGGCCACCUCUAAGAAGUGGAAUCAUGGAAUGAAGCCUGUAGCACCUCACCGAAUACUAGGCUGCUCAUGGACAUGCCAAGGCUGAGGAGACAGAGUUCCGGGGCUUCAAGAGGACGGUGCAGACAGCAGGUGUUGUGGAAUUUACAGCCCAUUUGGGGAACAGCAGCAGGAAUAUGUCGGGUGGCUCCAGAGAAAGGCUACCAAUCUGUGGACCACACCAAAGACGCAGAGUUACCAGCAGAGCGACCGAAAUAAAGACAUGAGCUCCACCUUACUGAGGGCCAUCCCAACACUGCCAGCACCCCGGCACGAGAGCAGCUCCCAGAACAAGACACUCCUGCCAGCCUGGCCCAGACACAGACCCCACAAAUUCAUGAAUUCCAAAAAAAGAAAAAAGAAAAAAAAACCUUGCUAAUCUAUAACCCACUGCCCCCUCUCACCUAGUAACUCACUUAUACAUACAUCACUGCCUUCUUGCAAAUAGGACUCCAUCAAAGGACACGGAGAAGCAGCUCAGGAAAACACGUAGAAACCCCUUUCUCAGUCUCUCUCCAAGAAGGCCAGCAUCCCUGAACCUCCUCUGUGUGCUGCUCUGGCUGCCACACAAGACUUGGAAGCCAGUACAGCCCAGGGGAUCACACAUGUGACAGCCCCAGGAUUGAAGACCCAAGGAAACGGAGGUUUGCUUUGCCACGAGCUCCUGCCAUGAUGCGCCAUCCUUGCCAGAGGCCCAAACCCAUGGUGCCACCUGAUUUUGAACUGGAACCUCCAGAAGCCCAAUUAGUGGCUCUGAUGCCGAGGUUCCCAGCACUCGCACGAUCAAUAGCACCCGCUGGCCAGCAGAGCGGGAUGGCCUGUCUGCACUCGACCAGCUUCGAUCCGCACCUGUGCUCCAUCAUAAUCCUUCCGGCCGCCUGGCGGAGGCUGAUUAACAAAGCCCAUUCUGCCUGUUUAUUCUCCCAUUGAUUUCACUGUGCUGGACCCAAAGCCCGAACAUCAAUACCCUGGUGGGUGAGGCACCUUCCCAGGGCCUCUGCAGUCUCUCCUAAGGUGAGGAGUGUCCCCAGCCCCUGUCAAUCACAUAUGCACGGCACAGAGAGCCAUCUCUCUGUGUGGGGGACAUCGUGGGUGACCAGGGCUAACAGAGUCAAUGCUGUCAAUAACUAAUAAAAAAAAAUCCCCAAAGCGUUCCCCACACCGGAAA